Molecule: long non-coding RNA, 694 nt
Organism: Gasterosteus aculeatus aculeatus (three-spined stickleback)
Lineage: Eukaryota; Metazoa; Chordata; Actinopteri; Perciformes; Gasterosteidae
Source: RefSeq, a predicted model, not a curated record
AGCUUCGGACGUCACUGAUCACGUGAUCAGCAGCGAACGAGCCGAGCAUCUUUACGUUUGCUUCGCCGUGCACUGUCUGGUUCAUGUUUCGACACUAGCUUCGCAGCAGGAGGGUCGGAGGUAACGACACUAGUGACAGCUGGGGCAACACGCAGGACUCCUCGUUCAGCGGGUUUUGAACCAGGACACGAGUGGUACCUGAAGGCGCACGGAUUACCAUUUGGAGCUACCAAACGGACCAACCUUCCAGUCCUGUGGAGAUGUGGUAGGACAAGGAGACAAAAAGCCUUUCCAUGGACCUCAAAAUGGAUUAUAUACUUUUUUCCAUAUUUUUCUUUCCUCGUGUGAUGAACCGGAUGGACUUGAACUAACCGAAUUUCUUUAUUUAUGAAUACAAGUCUAUAAAUGCACCACAGCUGGACUGACUCGUCGUUGUUUUUUUCCCACACACAUUUGGCUCCGUAGGGGAAUUUGAGAUCUUUGGGUCGAAGUGAGAAUUUAAGAUUGAACUAAUGUUAAGCUUAGGUUGGGAAAACAUCAAGCGAUGGUUACAUCAAACUGAAUUGUCUGUAGCUAUUUGAGCACAACGUGAGUGCAUUAGUGAACAUGUAUUUUUGUUUUUUACAUAAAUAAGUCUAUAGGACUGUUUGUAUUAAUCAUGUAUGUAUAAAUCCAAGCUGAACCUUUCCACCAA